AUGCACUUUCUUCCCCGUCUUCCACUCUUCUUCCUCAUCUCUUCUUCCUCCUCCUCUCUUCUUCUUCCUCCUCUCUUCCCCAUCGUCGGCCGCACACCAUUUACCCCCGCUCACUACUCGCUCGCCCGCGCCAUCUUCCUUGCAGACACAAAUGCGCUGGCCUUCAUGAUUCCAGGACCUAGAAUCAUACCAGCCGAUGGGUGGUGGUUUAUCGCUCGUUCAGCUGACGGUGGUCAUUUGAUGCUCAUUGGCACUUUGAAGCACUCCUCUGGUUUGAAGGAUAGAUACCUUCCCGGGAACAAGUGCAUCCCAACUCACCUGUUACCAUAUAACUGGAAUUACCGAUGCAAGUCGAAGAAGGAUUGGCCGGUGCUGCCGGCUGGCGCCAAGUUCGAUCCCACGGAUCAGGAGCUGAUCGAGCACCUUGAGGCCAAAGUGAGUGCUGACAGCGCGAGAUUUCAGUCUCUCAUCGAUUUGUUCAUACCAACCAUCGACAGCGAGCACGGCAUAUGCUACACCCAACCUGAGAAACUUCCAGCAAAAAAGGUUCUGGUGCUGCACACCAACAAGAACUUCGACCAGCAAAGGACCAACUGGGUGAUGCACCAGUACCACCUCGGGGACCUGGAGCAAGAGAAGGAGCGGGAGCUGGUCCUCUACAAGAUUUUCUACCAGAUGAACACUAGGACCAGGAGUAAAAAGAUUAUAAGUUAG
Molecule: ribosomal RNA, 714 nt
Filed under: Triticum aestivum (bread wheat)
Lineage: Eukaryota; Viridiplantae; Streptophyta; Magnoliopsida; Poales; Poaceae
Description: partial small subunit ribosomal RNA
Source: RNAcentral